GGGAUAUAUAUGGGGACGGAUAUGAAUUAAAUAUUAAAUUUAAUCAUAUAUAUAUUUAAUGAAUGUAUUUAUGUGGGCGUUUAUGUAUGCAUGAAUUAAUUAUUUAAUUGUCGGUGGCGCCGUGGCGGGCUCGCGCCCGGGCAGGGGUGUGACCUGGAUUCCGCGGGGGGAUGGAAUUUUUGCCCAUAUGUUGGGGGGCAGCCAGUUCAAUAUAUCUCCUAUGGGUUUCAAAAUAUUGAGUUUGGGAUUCUUUCGCAUUGGACUUAACUCACUUCUUAAUUAGAUGCUGAUAAAAAGGUCCUCUAGAUUGUCCCGCAGGUCUGUUUGUUUCCUCUUUCCAGAAUUGUUUCUAAACGGUCACACACACAAAACGCUCUAACACUGCCGAUGUUUAUUUUUCCACUGCCGGCAUGUUCAGCGUAGCUGCUCUAUGCAGUCCAUCUCUUCUAUUGCCCUUGAACCAAGUUCAAGUAGUAGCGUACUUGGACGGAAGAAUUAUUCGCAAACAAUCGAAGGAAACCGAAACCUAACGGCUUUACCCUAAGAUCUUGCAGCGCCCAACGUAGGCUCACACCCACUCAGUUUCUACAUGAGUGCUAUAUUCUUCUUUACUUCUCCUUCCAAAGCUUCCCCACUACAAUUCAGGUCUUUGGCGUGAAAAAUCCCCACCGGCUUCCCCGCCAGGUCUUCAAGCUCGUAGGCAUUAUUUCCAACCUGGCGUACGACUCGGCACUUCAGGAACUUCCGGGCGAACUUGGCGUUGUAGCUCUUCCCAAAGUCGCUGAGGGUAAAGUUGCGCCUGUAUACCUCUUGCCCUGGUUUGGCCCGUUUGUUGUAGCGCUAGCUGCUGCGCUCACACGCUUGGUGAAGGUUGGUCUUGAUAACUUCCCGGAUGAUGUGGCGUUUAUCCGCGACUGCAGCUUCCUCGCCAACUUAUAACAGUUCCCAUUAAGGAACAUUUGCUGUCCAAUAACUGAAAAAAACUGCGUUACGCCUGUGGCUUCGUGCACCGAGUCACGGAUCGACACUUCAAUCUCCGGUAGGUACAUAUCCCAGUCUCGAUGAUCCUUCUCCAAAUACGUCCUGACUGCAGCUAAUGUUGUCCGGUUCACCCUCUCGGCGGCAUUUCCUUGCGGUGAGUAGACUGCUGUGCGCAGAUAUCGGACGCCAAAGGUGCUAAUCAUAUCCUGGAAGAUCUUCGACAGGAACUGCUUUCAGUUGUCGGAGUGGAUGACCUCGGGUACCCCAAACUUGUAGAAAACUUCCUGUACUAGGAAUUAAACUACGUUCUCCGCGGUCGCCUCUCUCAUUGCCUUCAGAAAGGUGAAUUAAGAGAAGUGGUAUACGACGACAAAAAUCCAGGCUUGUCCCGUUUUCGAUCUCGGAUACUUCCCCAGAAAAUCGAUGUAUAAUUUCUAGAGCGGCCUCUCCGUUACGACUUCCUGACCGAUCCCUACCUGGCUUCGAUAAUUGGGUGGCCUCCGUACAUGCAUCGCAGUUACGGACAUACUCCCUGACUUGUGUCGUCAUCGCUGGCCGGUAGAAUUGCCUUCUUAGCCGAUGCAGGGUCUUUUUAAUUGCACCGUGUCGAGCUGUGUGGUCUUCAUGGGCCUUGGAGAUGAAAGUUUCCGUCAGUGCAGCGGUAAUCCAUAAUUUCCAAAUGGAUCCUUCCACUUGGUCGCCCAUUUGCGUGAAGGCCAUCCGCUUGAAUAUCACAUCCCCUUCCACUCGUAGGUCGGACAACAUGUCAACUUGAUUCUUGCCGAUUUCUCCUUUUAGCUCCUGAUAUUCUGCCGACUCAAACUCUGUCGUCUGGAACCCGAGGAUCUCCGUUGGAUCUAUCACCACUUCGUCGAUGCAGCGUGAGAGUGUAUCUGCCGGUGUUCGAUCCCAAAGUCGAACCUCUGCAGUCGCAAUGACUGCUCAACUCAACGUACAGUCUGAAUUUCUCAAUGGACAACACCGCAGCUAAACACUCUUUUUCCGUUACCGAAUAAUUUAGCUGAUGCUUGUUUAACUUGGCUGAGAAGAAAGCCACUGGACGCUCGGCUCUUUCGUCGUCCAACUGAAACAACACCGCUCCCACUCCGUAAUUCGAUGCGUCGCACUGUACAUAGAAAGGCUUCUUGAAAUCAGCAUGACUUAAUACCGGAGCCGUGGUGAGUGCCUUUUUCAGGGAUCCAAUCGCCGUCUCGGCCUCCGUCGACAAGGAAAACUUUCCACGCGGAUGCUUCUUCAGCGCGUCUGUCAUCGGCACUGCAAUGGAAGCGUAAUCCUUGAUGAAGCGCCUGUACCAUCCUGCGGUUCCUAGGAAGCUUCUUAGUUCCUUCACUGAACUCGGAUUGGGAAUAUUUUGAACGGCUAAAACUCUCUCAGGAUCCAUCUGCAACGUGCCUCCUUCGAUGAUAAAUCCCAGGUAUUUCAGUGACCUGAAGCAGAAUUUUGAUUUUGUCAAGCCUAUUGUUAAAUUUGCUUUUCACAGGCACUGAGCUACCAUUCGAAGGUAAAUGAGAUGCGUCUGGAAAUCGGGAGCUAUCACCAAGAGAUCAUCCAGAUAGACGAAAACGUUUGAUCUCAACUGCGUCGGGAUCACUUUGUCCAUCACUCGACAUAGCCUCUGUGCAGCGUUACACAGACCGAAGGGCAUCAUCACGAAUUGAUACAGCGGACGACCUGGAACGGUGAACGCGGUACACUUCCUGCUUUCUGGAUCCAGCUUGAUUUGCCAGAACGAAAAUUUGAGGUCUACACUUGAAAUGUAGUGCGUCUGGUCGAUCCUGGACAGUAUUCCCUCGAUGCUGGAACAGGGUACGCGUCUUUGACGGUGAGUUGGUUCAGCUUUCGGGCGUCUAAACAAAAUCUGUUUGGCUUGUUAGGUCCGGGUUUUUUGGUUUGUUAGGUUUCCGCACUACCGUCGUCCUAUUGCUCCACGGACUAUCGCUAACCUCUAUCACUCCUAGUUCCAGCAUCUUGUCUACUUAGGUCCAGACCACUUCCUGCAUCGCGGGGGAUUGAGGGUAGUGUCGAUCUUUAAAAGGCUCCGCGCCCUCUACUAACUGGAUCCGAUGCUCCUCUACUGUCGUUGACCCUAAUCCAGCAUCUUCGUAAGUCAGGAACUCCUUCUUCACCUCGUCCAGUUCUUCAGCUUCCUUCUCUUCCAGGUCCCACGCGUCCACAUGUACGUUCUCCCGGUGCUCUUCGGCAUAUUGGCUCCACCGGGAUUCUCGCUUUGCCGAUUAUGGUCCUGUCUACUCCUGAGGCUGUCUUGAAGAGCGAGACAUAGUUGUCCAGCUCCACCACGAGGUCGUCUAGGAGCUCACGACUGCCCUUUCCGAUGACACUUACGGACUCCCCAGUAUCCAGGAGUCCGGAAGUACAUCGGCAAAACCCUUGGGUCACAUCCUGACCCACGCCUGACUGCUGCAGCCACCUCCUUUAGAGUCUGUCUCCUUUACCGGAAGCGUGCACGGGCCUUCUGGAGCCUACGGCUGACACCUCGCAUUCCAUUCAUCUGGUGUCUGUCAAAGAUCCGAUUUCGGACUUUUUUAUAUCUCCUCAUUCUCUCUUCGACCGGUAAGAAUUUAAAACUAUGUUUCUAUUCACUACUUAGGUUAAUAUGCUUAAUUUUUACAAUAUCCAAUAGCGCAUCCUUAACUUUCUCGCGGGCCUUCGUCCCCAUCUCUGAUAUCCCGCCUUCAUCAUGCUCGUUCUUGCGUUUCCCGAGCAGUUGGGACACUUCGCCGUGUACGUUUCGGGCUUUCUGCAGAGGUAGCAGAAUACCCUGCGUUCCUUUGACAUACACUCUCGGAAACUGUGGUCAACUUCUCCGCAAUUCCAGCACACCAGCCUCGGCCUCGCUGUCAGGUGUGUUUCCUCAACCAUCACCUCUUCCUCUCCUUCCGACAGCUCCGACUCUGGCUCGAUCUGCUUCACUCGCUUAGCGGAUUGUUGGAACUUCAGCGUCUUCGAAAAUGGUACUUCACCUCCACACACUCUUCCCUAAGCUGCUCCAGGUUCCGGACUCGGAUCGCGUACAAAUAACGAGCGAUCUCCUUCUCGAGCCCCUUCUUGACGACUCUGACCAUUUCGGAAUCCGCUAUUGGUGUGAUAAGUCUUGCUGCCAGCCUCCGUAUCCCUCGAAAAUAGUCUUCCACCGAUUCUCCAGGUUCUUGCCGUCGCUCAUGCAACGCACGCAGCCGUUCGUAUUGCCCACCUACUGCACGGUAUCGGGACACCAGCUCGUCCUUUAAGUCCUCCCAGACUUCUAGAGGCCUCUCUCGGACUAACUGCCAGUACCACUCGGCAGCCCGUCCUCUCAUCAGCUGGUGAAAAUUAUCCAGGACUUCGUCCCACGAGCGUCGACUCUGCCUCUGGAGAAAUUCGACCCGAAGGACGAAAUCCUCCACCGUCAGUUUGGCUGGGUCUGGGUCGCCGUCGAAAUGGAUGUCCCACUUGUCGACGCGUCCCCAUCUCGGCUCCCUCCACUCGGCUCGCCUCUCGUAGGGCGUCGUGAAUCGCCGCGCUCCGCCGUCUACUGCUGGUUCCCGUUCCAGUCCGGCAAUUCUUUUGGGGUCUUCGGCGGGUUCAAGCUGUCGUUCUCGCCUCCUUCCGCGCCGGUGUGUCCUGUCAUUUUCACUCUUGACCGUAAAUCGUAACUGCUCAUAUAUUUUAUCUUCCUACCUAGCUUUUCUUUCUUCCACAGAAAACUAACUAACUUCAACAAAGCUCAACACGGAACUUCAAAAUACUGCAAGAUCAACAAUAAGAGGGGAAAGUAACCACAACUGCUACUGGAGCCAUCUGCACCCAUCUUCCCUACGUGUUUCCUGUCCACCGUCUACAACUUCUUCGCGAGCUCUGUUGACCUCUCAUCUUCUACAGAAGAUUAAGAGUUAAGGGCGCUCACUCUGCUACCUGCUUCUAGCCCACUACUCUACUGGAAGCUAUCUUCGGGAUCCUUCGACGUUCGUCGUCGCGAACGGACUGGGACUCAUAAACUAGUCUUAGAUUGGGUGCCAUUAUUGUUACGAACCUGUUUUGGUGUUGGGGCAAGGCCGGCUAGCCAGUCAUCCCAGGGCUGAGUUCUUCGCAGGCCCCCAGGUCGCACAACAAACCAACUGUUCGGACAUCUCGAACAAAUACGAUAACAACACGGUAAUUAAAAAACGAGAAGGGACGUGUGAGGCGCUUCUUACGCGUCACAACUUUUAUACCCGUCACUCAGGACUACAUCUAGAUGUAGAAGACAUCACCAACCACUAGAUAUCGUUCACAUUACAGAACACGUAGUAAGAGCCUACUAAAUAAAAUGCAUCAAACUAAUUGGAUCAGUUAAU
Molecule: long non-coding RNA, 5336 nt
Filed under: Drosophila guanche
Lineage: Eukaryota; Metazoa; Arthropoda; Insecta; Diptera; Drosophilidae
Source: RNAcentral